AGACGAUGGGAAACAGGCACAAAGAUUCCUGUACCACCAGGUAACCGUUUUGAGUGAUGGGGCGACGCAGGAGGAUAAGACAGCUGUCUGCUGGAAUAGACAGUCUAAGCGUGUGGGCCGCAAUCCAGGAAAAUCCGGAUUGCACAAGGCUGAGGCGUUAAGGGACGUGAAUCCUUUCGAGGUGAAGCGAAUUGUCUGAUUCCACACUGCCAAGAAAAACCUCUAGCAAGGUUACAGGUGACCGUACCGCAAACCAACACAGGUAGACGAGAUGAGUAUUCUAAGGCGCUCGGGUGAUCCACCCUUAAGGAACUCGACCAAAUAGCCCCGUAUCUUCGGAAGAAGGGGUGCUGCUGGUGGUGAUGGCCCUCGCGGCCUCAGCUGCUGGCAGCGACAGUAAAGUGGCUCGGGCGACUGUUUACUAAAAACAUAGGUCUCUGCUAAGUCGUAAGACGAUGUAUAGGGACUGACGCCUGCCCAAUGCCGGAAGGUUAACGGGAGGAGUCAAGGCGUAAGCCGGCAGCUCUGAACCGAAGCCCCGGUUAAUGGCGGCCGUAACUAUAACGGUCCUAAGGUAGCGAAAUUCCUUGUCGGGUAAGUUCCGACCUGCACGAAUGGCGUAACGAUCCGAGCAUUGUCUCGAGGGUGGGCCCGGUGAAAUUGUACUACGAGUGAAGAUGCUCGUUACCCGCAUAAGGACGGGAAGACCCCGUGCACCUUUACUACAGCUUGAUAUUGGAUUUAGUGGCCUCUUGUAUAGGAUAGGUGGGAGACGUUGAGACUGGAGCGCCAGCUUCGGUGGAGUCACCCUUGGAAUACCACCCUGGUUGUCAUUGAAUUCUAACUCCGAACCCGUGAAUCCGGGCGGAGGACAGUGUCUGGUGGGUAGUUUGACUGGGGCGGUCGCCUCCUAAAGAGUAUCGGAGGCGCCCAAAGGUUCCCUCAGCAUGUUUGGAAAUCAUGCUAAGAGUGUAAAGGCAUAAGGGAGCUUGACUGCGAGACCUACAAGUCGAGCAGGUACGAAAGUAGGGCUUAGUGAUCCAGCGGUUCCGUAUGGAAGGGCCGUUGCUCAUCGGAUAAAAGGUACGCCGGGGAUAACAGGCUUAUCUCUCCCAAGAGUUCAUAUCGACGGGGAGGUUUGGCACCUCGAUGUCGGCUCGUCACAUCCUGGGGCUGAAGCAGGUCCCAAGGGUUCGUCUGUUCGCCGAUUAAAGUGGCACGCGAGCUGGGUUUAAAACGUCGUGAGACAGUUUGGUCCCUAUCCUAUGCGGGCGCAGGAGAUUUGAUGGAAGUUGUCCCUAGUACGAGAGGACCGGGAUGAACGAACCUAUGGUCUUCCGGUUGUCACGCCAGUGGCAUCGCCGGGUAGCUAAGUUCGGUUGGGAUAAGUGCUGAAAGCAUCUAAGCACGAAGCCCCUCCAAAGAUAAGAUCUCCCUGACCUAUGGUCCUAAAGAGUCCUGGAAGACUACCAGGUUGAUAGGCCGGAAGUGUACGCAUGGUGACAUGUUUAGCUGACCGGUACUAAUAACUCGUGAGGCUUGGU
RNAcentral lists this ribosomal RNA (1544 nucleotides) under metagenome. RNAcentral describes it as "bacterial LSU rRNA". It matches the Rfam family "Bacterial large subunit ribosomal RNA", at positions 1413 to 2925 of the family's 2925-position model. The record is from RNAcentral.